GUCCUGUGACAUCUAGAUCCACUGGCUUCAGCUCCAUUGUGACAUCCUAACAUGCAUUGUGUUGGUGGUAACUUAUUGACCACUGAACCAUGCUGGAGAAGCUGGUGUGCACUGCAUAGAGGGUUAGGUGAGAAGUCUUUCAAGUGUGAGAUUUGCUCUUAUACCUUCAUUGAUACAAGCUCCCUGCAGCAGUGUUUCUGAACAUGCACUAAUGAGAGGCCUUGCAAAUGCUGGCUCUGUUCAUAUAGUCGCAUUUAGAAGAAGAGCUUGGACCUUCACAUAUGCUGACAUCACACUGGUGAGGUGUGGUUUUUGCUGCUGUUCUUCUGAGAAACAGUUUCUCCAAAAACACAUUAAGAAACAUCACCUAGGUUCAAGAACUUUCUUAACCAGCUCCCAGCUCACUUUUACCCUCAAAUCACUUCCUGUGGAAAAUUAG
Molecule: long non-coding RNA, 439 nt
Filed under: Melopsittacus undulatus (budgerigar)
Lineage: Eukaryota; Metazoa; Chordata; Aves; Psittaciformes; Psittaculidae
Description: lncRNA (ENSMUNG00000021064.1)
Source: RNAcentral